AGAAGAUUGAGGGUUCGUGUCCCUUCGUGG
RNAcentral lists this non-coding RNA (30 nucleotides) under Homo sapiens (human). The record is from RNAcentral. Lineage: Eukaryota; Metazoa; Chordata; Mammalia; Primates; Hominidae. RNAcentral also lists the same sequence under 2 other names.